Molecule: long non-coding RNA, 204 nt
Filed under: Elaeis guineensis (African oil palm)
Lineage: Eukaryota; Viridiplantae; Streptophyta; Magnoliopsida; Arecales; Arecaceae
Description: long non-coding RNA (EGUI_LNC014109)
Source: RNAcentral
GCCAUGAGAGAAGUCUUGAACAUGUCCAAGGCUCUCUUGCCCUAUGGUAUGAUCCUUACUGUUAUUUUCAGAGAGUCAGGAGUCAGUUUUGAGGGAGAGAUUAUUUGUAGACUGUCAUAUACUGACACCUAUAACAACCACUCUCUUAGGCGCAUGGGUUUUGUGAGAGUUGAUGACCGGUGGGCCAAGGGUCGAGCUGCAGCU